Long non-coding RNA from Onychomys torridus (southern grasshopper mouse), 940 nucleotides. RefSeq lists it as uncharacterized. The transcript is spliced from 10 exons. The record is from RefSeq and is a predicted model, not a curated record. NCBI's taxonomy places the organism in Eukaryota, Metazoa, Chordata, Mammalia, Rodentia, Cricetidae.
UCUGUCUCAGUAUCCGCGGCGGGCUGCGGUCUCAGAGGCAUCUGCCGCUGCUGUGAUUAAAGGCGUGUGCUAUCACGUCUGGCUUUCCCUCGUGAAAGAAUUAUUCCUAGUGGUUAUUAAUUCUUCUGAGCGCACGCGUGAACAUAGCGUUUCCCAGACGUGAUCCUGUUUAACUUACGUAACUGGGGCUGGGAGGUUAGUGACGUUUGGGGCUCUUCAAGACCUUGGCACAAGCAGGGCUUUGUGAAGGACAAAAUGGUGGCGGCGGUGCAGGGCCAUCCUCUAUGAUGAGCACCUUUUCACAGACCUGUACUGAUUUCCGUGAGGAUAAGUAACUCUGAGGAGGCUGGCCCUAAGACCUGCCCCCGCCCAGCCAGGUCUUCUAAAGUGGUGUAGAAGUAAUGGAAUGCUAACAUGUCUUUGUAGAUUUGGGAACGUGAUUGCGUACGGAGGAAUGGGAGUGUGCGCUCACUUUAAGAUAUGGCUAAUCUCAUCGGAUUUUACACUUUGGAGCCAGGCUAGGACAUGCUUACAAAUAGGACGCUAUGCUGGUAGUCAAGCGUACUGGAACUCGAUUCUGAGAAACUCAAACUACAUCCCAGGAUGAAUACAGGUUAUCCUGAUUGAUGAUUUGUCGAAAGGGGGCGAGUAUUCCUGUAUAUCGCGAAUCUCCAGCAUUCAGAGGUUCUCUUAGCAGUAGCAUGCCUGUUGGUCCAGAGAUUUGGUGUCUUGCCUAAAGACAAGGAACCAUGCCAGAGAAAUAACCUGUCUUCACUCAAGGCCAAGCUGGAAUGAGGUCUGAGGAAAGAAUAAGGAGCAUGUAAUGUGAAUGGAAUCCAUAUCUUCAAGGAUGUAAAGACAUCUCUGCUCCCUGUACAUACAAUUUUGACAAUUUGGAAUUGUGUGUCUUCAUUUUCUUAAUUAAAUUCUUGAGAAUUUG